CCCUCCUCUGGAGUUUCACAGGGAGCCCAAGAUACAGGAUGCUAAUGAUGUUAGACGAUGAUCUAAAAGAAGAUGGCAGCGAUUUGUUCAAGUGGUCCUCUGAACUGAUGAAGUUGUGAUGUGUCAGAGAUUGAGAAAGCUAGACUUCGUCAUCCUCCCCACUUCAGGCAGCGUUGCAGGAGUUUGAACAGAAAAAUCCCAUUCAUCUCUAUUGGAUGUUAACUGCGUUGCUGUAUAAAGAUGAUAGCCAGAGACUGAUAGGACCAACCGAGAUUAAUAAGAGCUGGAGAAAAGGAGGUGUGCUGCUAAGAACAACUAGCAGAAGGCCAUCCUGGCAGCUUUGCACCAUCUACAGCAGCUAUAUUACUGUAAGGCGUUCCCUAAGAAGCCUGUAACUUCCCACCACUUCCAAUAGUCUGUUAACAUUGAUUUGUUUAUGUUGAAGGUUACUUGGAAUUAACAGCAGCAUAAAUUUCCUUAAAAUACAAAUCUAAGACGGAUUGGACCUAGCUCCUAAUUUUAACAGAGAUUUGCCACAGAACAGGAAGAUAUACAUUAUUCUAUGCCUGGUAGUGAACAAAUGCUGCUGGGCUAGCAUUAGUCACAAUGCUAGCCCAGCAGACUCAAUCCAGGCAAACCUAGAUAAAGAAAAUCGACCUUGAAGUUCCUUAUGAGCCAUUUAAGUCUUCACGCAGACAGUAUUCAAGUUUGACUAUACGGUCACUUGUGUUGAAAGAUGUUUGGCAGUCAGAGCAUUCCAAGACAUGCAAAUACAUCUGGGAUAUCUGGAUCCAGGAUAAAUUGAAACACUUCAUGACUUUUUACCUUUGUGUAGACCUGCUUACUCUUCAGUCCUUUAUGCUUGACUGUACUUCGCAUAAGGAAAUGUGGGCACUAGUAUAGGAUAAUCUUGAGAAACAGAAUAUGAUAAUGUGGAGAGCAACUUAGUAAUUGAAAAGUAGUCAUAAUAAGACUACGUUCAGUUUAAUUUCGCUUAUGCCAAAAGAAAACAAGGUGAUUGUGAGUCAUUACCAGUGUGAACAGAGAAAAGAGAGGCUUUUGAGGUUCACAAGUCAGAGCCAUUUUGGUUGCUAAUUCUAACUUCCCUUGUAACUUAAUUAAACUG
Long non-coding RNA from Lagopus muta (rock ptarmigan), 1126 nucleotides. RefSeq lists it as uncharacterized. The transcript is spliced from 3 exons. The record is from RefSeq and is a predicted model, not a curated record. Lineage: Eukaryota; Metazoa; Chordata; Aves; Galliformes; Phasianidae.